Non-coding RNA from Prunus mume (Japanese apricot), 960 nucleotides. The record is from RefSeq and is a predicted model, not a curated record. Lineage: Eukaryota; Viridiplantae; Streptophyta; Magnoliopsida; Rosales; Rosaceae.
AGGAGGAGGCAUCUACUAUCAAGGCCGCAGGAAAAGCUUGAGAAAUGCCUGUUGAUAAAUCUUGGAUGCAAUCUGGGAGGUCGUCAGAAGAUUAUUUUGUAGGAGUUGAAAGUUUUCUCAAUUAUGCAUACAACCAUGUUAAGCCGGAUGAUUCUAAGAUCUUCUGUCCUUGCUCUAAAUGCAGUAAUAGAUAUAGACAUCUGAGGUAUGAGGUACACAAGCAUCUUCUUUAUAAUGGAAUUAAACUAAAUUAUACUACAUGGUAUUUGCACGGUGAGGGUGAGGAUGAGGAUAUUGAUGAAAGUGAUGAUAGUGAUGAAAGUGAUAGUGACAAUGAUGGACAUGAUGUGGCCAGUAUGGAGUAAGAUGAUGAUAUGCAUGGUUUAAUAGAAGAAGGUUGUCCACAAGAUCCAAAUGGAGAUGCGCACAAGUUUUACAAAUUGUUAGAAGAGGCAGAACAACCAUUGUACGCUGGUUGUGAAUCAUAUUCUAAUUUGUCUUUUGUUGUGAACCUUAUGCAUAUCAAGGGUAUUGGUACUAUGAGCAAUAAAGCAUUUGAUUUAGGUCUUUAUUAUGAUAAAAUAGAUGCAUGCAAUAAUGAUUGCAUCAUUUAUUAUAAGGAGCAUGCAAAUGCAACGCAGUGUCCUACAUGUAAGCUUUCGAGAUGGAAGAAACAAGGAAAGGGUAGCAAAAAGAAAGGUAAAAAGGUUCCAUGGAAGGUGCUUAGAUAUUUUCCACUCACACCAAGACUUCAAAGAUUAUUCAUGUCAUCCAAGACAGCUGUAGAUAUGAGAUGGCAUUUUAAGGAUAGUGUAAAAGAUGGAGUGUUGAGGCAUCCAGCAAAUUCUGAGGCUUGGAAAUCGUUUAAUCAAAUUCAUGAGUCAUUUGGUAUGGAACCUCGAAAUGUAAGACUUGGUUUGGCAACAGAUGGAUUUAACCCUUUUGGGAACAUGAAUUUGC